Punica granatum (pomegranate) is the source of this 2426-nucleotide non-coding RNA. Lineage: Eukaryota; Viridiplantae; Streptophyta; Magnoliopsida; Myrtales; Lythraceae. The record is from RefSeq and is a predicted model, not a curated record.
GCUGUGUUGCUUCGGCUGUCUGGUCCCUCAUACGUUCAUUCAUACUUCCUCUAUAAGCCUCACUCUCAUCGCCGGCACUCUCAGAUCACCCCAACGAAGAAUCCUCUACUCUCUCUCUCUCCCCACCCCCCUCCGUCGGCGCCGCCGGCGAUCAUCAAUCGGCUCGGCGAUUUAAUUCUUCAGAAAAUUUUGUAUCCGUCGGCGGGGGGUUAUACAUACAGGUUCCGGAAGCAAUCGUUUUGAUCAAUUGAAGCUCCCGAUCGCCAUGGACGAUUGCUUCGCCGACGAGGAGGACUACUACUGCUCCGACCACGAGUCGCUGGACGGGCUCGAGAAUGAAGAUUCCGGCGUCAAUUGGGCACCUUCCAAAGGCCCCUCUACUAGGGUUAUCACGAAGGAGUCGCUUUUAGUCGCACAGAGGGAAGACCUGCGUAGAGUGAUGGAUGUGCUAUCGCUUAGAGAACACCAUGCUCGAACUCUGCUUAUCCACCAUAGGUGGGAUGUGGAGAAGUUGCUUGCUGUCCUGGUUGAGAAGGGGAAACCUUGUUUGUUUAUGGACGCGGGCGUCCCUGUGGUUGAGGAUGAAUGCAAGGGUUCUCGGGCAGCUUCUUCUUCUUCUGUCAUGUGUGAUAUAUGCAUGGAAGAGGUCUCUGGUAGUGAGGCAACAAGAAUGGACUGUGGUCAUUGCUUCUGCAACACUUGUUGGACUGAGCAUUUUGUUGUCAAGAUAAACGAAGGGCAAAGCAGGCGGAUCAGGUGCAUGGCGCAUAAAUGCAAUGCUAUUUGUGAUGAAUCCACCGUCAGGACUCUUGUCAGUAAAAGGCAUCCCGACUUAGCUGAGAAAUUUGACAGGUUUCUUCUUGAGUCGUAUAUUGAGGAUAACAAGAUGGUUAAAUGGUGCCCAAGCACUCCCCAUUGUGGGAAUGCUAUACGUGUUGAGGAAGAUGAAUAUUGUGAGGUAGAGUGUUCCUGUGGAUUGCAAUUCUGUUUCAGUUGCUUGUCAGAAGCGCACUCCCCUUGCUCUUGUCUGAUGUGGGAUCUCUGGACAAAGAAAUGCCGAGAUGAAUCAGAAACAGUCAACUGGAUCACUGUUCAUACGAAGCCUUGUCCAAAAUGUCACAAACCUGUGGAAAAGAAUGGUGGAUGCAACCUAGUGAGCUGCAUCUGUGGACAAGCAUUUUGUUGGCUGUGUGGUGGAGCGACUGGACGUGACCAUACUUGGUCUACUAUUUCUGGUCACAGUUGUGGUCGCUACAAAGAAGACCAAGAGAAAAAGGCUGAGCGUGCUAAAAGGGAUCUCUAUCGAUACAUGCAUUAUCAUAAUCGUUAUAAGGCUCAUCAGGACUCCUUUAAGCUAGAAAACAAACUGAGGGAAACUUUACAGGAGAAGGUGUCGAUUUCUGAAGAGAAGGAAUCAACUCUCAGAGAUUUCAGUUGGGUAACAAAUGGACUAUAUCGACUUUUCAGGUCGAGGAGAGUUCUGUUAUACUCAUAUCCAUUUGCAUUUUAUAUGUUUGGUGAGGAGCUUUUCAAAGAUGAGAUGACAAAUGAGGUGAGAGAGAUAAAGCAACAUUUAUUUGAGGACCAGCAGCAACAGCUUGAGGAGAAUGUUGAAAGACUUUCCAAAUUUUUGGAGGAGCCUUUUGAUCAGUAUGAUGAGAAAAGAGUUAUGGAGAUACGGAUGCAAGUCAUCAAUCUAUCUGUUAUAACUGAUUCCCUUUGCAAGAAAAUGUAUGAAUGCAUUGAAAAUGACUUGCUGGGAUCUCUCCAACUGGGCACCCACAACAUAGCUCCUUAUCAUUCUAAGGGCAUUGAACGAGCUUCGGAACUUGCUUCUUGUUUGAGUAUGCAAGUCGAUGACCCAGACAAGCCAGACUUUGGCAAAGCUGUUCUAAUUGGAAGAUAGUGGCUGAGCAUAUGAGAGACUCCUGAACUUACGCUUUAUCUGCAGAGGGAGAAGAUUUUUGUUGCUUUUUGAUGAGGGUGGAUGCUCUUCGCGGAAGCGAGCUAGGAAGGAGUCUCGGUUUUUUGAUCUCAACAUGCCGGCUGAGGUCAUUGACAGGAACUGAUGACUAUCUUUGGGAUUUCAUGGAAUCGAGAUUCAGGCGUACAGUCUAACUUGGAUUUGCUUCCUCUACCUGACAGGAUGCUCUUUUGUCUAUUUUCCUCAUAAAUUUCCUGGCAUCGUUAAUUAGUUUUUAGAGGUGGUCGCGGGAAGGGGAACUCGAGAAUUUCUGAUGCUCGACCUCACCGUCUCUCUAUUGACUUCUGGGUAUUGUACAGAAUGCACCUUUAUUUAGAUUUUCCUGGGCUUUUAGAAAUGUAAAUCUUCUGCCUGAUAAUUGGAUCCUAUGAUUUAUCGUUUUGACAUAAUACAUAUUGAUAUUAUAAGAUAUAUAUAUAUAUAUUAGAGUAUUUUUUUUUCU